This 622-nucleotide long non-coding RNA is filed under the name Pan troglodytes (chimpanzee). RNAcentral describes it as "long non-coding RNA NONPTRT004778". The record is from RNAcentral. Lineage: Eukaryota; Metazoa; Chordata; Mammalia; Primates; Hominidae.
CAUUUGGAGAAAAUGGUUGAUUCCCUUUAAGGAAUCAAGGUUAGCCUGCAGAGCUAAUAAAAGCCCCUUGGGAAAACUUGCCUGAUACCUUGUCUACAUACUCUCUGUACAGGAUUGCUAAUCUGUGGCUAUCAAGCUCCAAACGCUAAUGCAAAUAAAACCACACAUGGACGUGCCUUUUAUCCAAGGACCCCCAGACCAGCCCCAGGAGGAAACCUAGCUGCUGUUCCCCUCACAACACCUUUCUCCAGUAGUAUCAUCACCCCACCUACCUAACAGAAGUUAGGGUCUCCACCCCUGAAGGGGAGAAUGAGAGAGAACAAAGAAAGAAACUGGUCAGUCAGGCAGUUUGGGUGGAUCCUUGGUUGAAUUCUUUCAAGCAAAAGAACAGCCUGAAAACUCAAGCUCCAGGCACAGAUAAGGGAACUUGCACAGGGGAGCUUGCCUAGGACAUGCCCACAGCUGCAUAGAUAAGAAAGGCUACACAGGUGACUUGCCCAGACAUCUCUGCAAUGGAAAAUUCCAUCCCCUAACACAUGUGCAGUAAGGGGAACAAAGCAAUAUGGAGUAACUCAAGCUAAGGGCCCUCGUGCACACUGGGAGGACAAAGUGGAGCUACCAG